GAUGAACGCUGGCGGCGUGCCUAACACAUGCAAGUCGAGCGGACCUGAUUGAGUGAUUAGCUUGCUAUGAACUCAUGACUGGUUAGCGGCGGACGGGUGAGUAACGCGUGGGUAACCUGCCUCAUACAGGGGGAUAGCAGUUGGAAACGACUGGUAAUACCGCAUAAGCGCACAGUACCGCAUGGUACGGUGUGAAAAACUCCGGUGGUAUGAGAUGGACCCGCGUCCGAUUAGCCAGUUGGCGGGGUAACGGCCCACCAAAGCGACGAUCGGUAGCCGGCCUGAGAGGGCGGACGGCCACAUUGGGACUGAGACACGGCCCAGACUCCUACGGGAGGCAGCAGUGGGGGAUAUUGCACAAUGGAGGAAACUACUGAUGCAGCGACGCCGCGUGGGUGAAGAAGUAUUUCGGUAUGUAAAGCCCUAUCAGCAGGGACGAUAAUGACGU
Molecule: ribosomal RNA, 448 nt
Filed under: bacterium XBD2005
Lineage: Bacteria
Description: bacterial SSU rRNA
Rfam family: Bacterial small subunit ribosomal RNA
Source: RNAcentral